AAACCAUGCAUCAGGAAUUUUCUAAUUAACUCCUUGAAUCACUCUCAUGCUUCAUAUAAUGUUUCGUCCUCAGAUUUUUGGAAAGACGUAAUAUCGUUCCUCAAUUU
Molecule: non-coding RNA, 107 nt
Organism: Gossypium raimondii (Peruvian cotton)
Lineage: Eukaryota; Viridiplantae; Streptophyta; Magnoliopsida; Malvales; Malvaceae
Source: Rfam